This 253-nucleotide ribosomal RNA is filed under the name uncultured bacterium. RNAcentral describes it as "partial 16S ribosomal RNA". It matches the Rfam family "Bacterial small subunit ribosomal RNA", at positions 524 to 776 of the family's 1533-position model. The record is from RNAcentral.
UACGUAGGGUGCAAGCGUUAAUCGGAAUUACUGGGCGUAAAGCGUGCGCAGGCGGUUCGUCAAGUUCGUUGUGAAAGCCCGGGGCUCAACCCCGGGAUGCCGCCCGAGACUGGGAGGCUUGAGGUCGGAAGAGGGGAGUGGAAUUCCAGGUGUAGCGGUGAAAUGCGUAGAGAUCUGGAGGAACACCCGUGGCGAAGGCGGGUCUCUGGGCAACAACUGACGCUGAGGAGCGAAAGCGUGGGGAGCGAACAGG